UCGCAGCCCGGCUUGAACGGAAAUCCUUUUGCGAGGAUGAACGACGAACAAAAGAUUGUGAGUGGAAGACGGAGAUAGC
Molecule: small RNA, 79 nt
Filed under: Epilithonimonas xixisoli
Lineage: Bacteria; Pseudomonadati; Bacteroidota; Flavobacteriia; Flavobacteriales; Weeksellaceae
Description: Chryseobacterium xixisoli Flavo-1 RNA
Source: RNAcentral